RNAcentral lists this ribosomal RNA (440 nucleotides) under uncultured bacterium. RNAcentral's name for it is "partial 16S ribosomal RNA". It matches the Rfam family "Bacterial small subunit ribosomal RNA", at positions 338 to 795 of the family's 1533-position model. The record is from RNAcentral.
CCUACGGGUGGCAGCAGUGGGGAAUAUUGCACAAUGGGGGAAACCCUGAUGCAGCGACGCCGCGUGAGUGAAGAAGUUUUUCGGUAUGUAAAGCUCUAUCAGCAGGGAAGAAAAUGACGGUACCUGAUCAAGAAGCCCCGGCUAAAUACGUUCCAGCAGCCGCGGUAAUACGGAGGGGGCAAGCGUUAUCCGGUUUUACUGGGUGUAACGGGAGCGUAGACGGCAGCACAAGUCUGGAGUGAAAUGCCGGGGCUUAACCCCGGAACUGCUUUGGAAACUGUGCAGCUAGAGUGCGGGAGAGGUUAGUGGAAUUCCUGGUGUAGCGGUGAAAUGCGUAGAUAUUAGGAGGAACACCAGUGGCGAAGGCGGCUUACUGGAAUGUAACUGACGUUGAGGCUCGAAAGCGUGGGGAGCAAACAGGAUUAGAUACCCGAGUAGUC